UGUCAGAUCCUUCCCCUUCCAUCCGAACCUGAAAACGCUUGCUUGCUGGAAUUCCUGCUGCAUUCGAGCCACGAGCAUGUGCGAGCUCAGGUUAGCGACUCCAUUAAUGCUGUGACUGCAGCUGCUUUAUGAUUCUGGCAGAAAUAAGGACGCGGAUGAGUGUAUCACCGUAUGUGCCCCGGAUCAGAAACUGUCUU
Non-coding RNA from Miniopterus natalensis, 197 nucleotides. The record is from RefSeq and is a predicted model, not a curated record. Lineage: Eukaryota; Metazoa; Chordata; Mammalia; Chiroptera; Miniopteridae.